GUUCUAUAGUUUCUUUUCUUUUAU
This 24-nucleotide small nuclear RNA is filed under the name Arabidopsis thaliana (thale cress). RNAcentral describes it as "snRNA_07166". Lineage: Eukaryota; Viridiplantae; Streptophyta; Magnoliopsida; Brassicales; Brassicaceae. The record is from RNAcentral.